CGCGUAGGCGGACCCGCCAGUCUGUGGUGAAAGCCCCCAGCUCAACUGGGGAAGUGCCGUGGAUACUGCGGGUCUGGAGGAGGGUAGGGGCAUCUGGAACGCUGGGUGGAGCGGUGAAAUGCGUUGAUAUCCAGCGGAGCUCCGGUGGCGAAGGCGAGGUGCUGGACCCUUUCUGACGCUGAGUGUGCGAAAGCCAGGGGAGCAAACG
This 208-nucleotide ribosomal RNA is filed under the name uncultured bacterium. RNAcentral describes it as "partial 16S ribosomal RNA". It matches the Rfam family "Bacterial small subunit ribosomal RNA", at positions 568 to 774 of the family's 1533-position model. The record is from RNAcentral.